AAGAAAAAUUGAUGAAUCGAGAAAAAGAAAGAAAAAUAAAAAUCAAAUAAUCGAUGAUUCAAAAGAAAAAGCACGGAAAAGGGCAGUCGGUAAAAAUUCAAGAAAUAAGAAAAGAAAACCGAGGAAAUAAAAGAAACAAACACAGUAUGUAACAUCGACUCUGAACCAAAAGCCCCUUGUUUUCCUUUUUAAUCCAUACCCUGACCCAAGUCAAGCUACAACCCUAAAGACCUCAAAAGUGUGUGUGUUAUGUAUAAGUGAUGAGAAAAGAGAGAUUAUUCAAACUUGUGAGUGAUAUUGCAUACUUUGAAUUAUGAGUGUAAACAGCUUACCCCGAGAGAAUUGGUGAGAAUGUGAAAUAAGCUGACAGGUGAAAUGGUGCUUUAAAGUGGAAGUAUGAAUGAUGACUUACGAGGAUGGGUAGGACUUGUGUCAGGAGAAACAGUAGGCUGACACGGCCACCCGUGUCAGCUGACACGGGCCGUGUCAGCCCA
This 494-nucleotide long non-coding RNA is filed under the name Lathyrus oleraceus (garden pea). RNAcentral describes it as "Pisum sativum (pea) long non-coding RNA (PSAT_LNC041024)". The record is from RNAcentral. Lineage: Eukaryota; Viridiplantae; Streptophyta; Magnoliopsida; Fabales; Fabaceae.